GACGAACGCUGGCGGCGUGCUUAACACAUGCAAGUCGAACGGAAAGGCCCUGCUUUUGUGGGGUGCUCGAGUGGCGAACGGGUGAGUAACACGUGAGUAACCUGCCCUUGACUGUGGGAUAACUUCAGGAAACUGGGGCUAAUACCGGAUAGGAGCUCCUGCUGCAUGGUGGGGGUUGGAAAGUUUCGGCGGUUGGGGAUGGACUCGCGGCUUAUCAGCUUGUUGGUGGGGUAGUGGCUUACCAAGGCUUUGACGGGUAGCCGGCCUGAGAGGGUGACCGGCCACAUUGGGACUGAGAUACGGCCCAGACUCCUACGGGAGGCAGCAGUGGGGAAUAUUGCACAAUGGGAGGAAGCCUGAUGCAGCAACGCCGCGUGCGGGAUGACGGCCUUCGGGUUGUAAACCGAUUUCGCCUGUGACGAAGCGUGAGUGACGGUAAUGGGUAAAGAAGCACCGGCUAACUACGUG
This 468-nucleotide ribosomal RNA is filed under the name uncultured bacterium. RNAcentral's name for it is "partial 16S ribosomal RNA". It matches the Rfam family "Bacterial small subunit ribosomal RNA", at positions 28 to 507 of the family's 1533-position model. The record is from RNAcentral.